GGGGCUAUAGCUCAGCUGGGAGAGCGCAACACUGGCAGUGUUGAGGUCAGCGGUUCGAUCCCGCUUAGCUCCA
This is a transfer RNA of Endozoicomonas numazuensis, 73 nucleotides long. It matches the Rfam family "tRNA". Rfam says of the family: Transfer RNA (tRNA) molecules are approximately 80 nucleotides in length. Their secondary structure includes four short double-helical elements and three loops (D, anti-codon, and T loops). The record is from Rfam. Lineage: Bacteria; Pseudomonadati; Pseudomonadota; Gammaproteobacteria; Oceanospirillales; Endozoicomonadaceae.